AGAAAACUUAUAAAACAAAUAAAACAUAUUUUGAUCAUGAAUAAUCUAUGUCAUCAUAUUGAACCAGAGUCGCUUUCUAUAGGUGCUGAAAUGGAUAGCAGAAUGCUUAUAUGCAACCGGGGUUAUAUCAUAAUUAAUUUUUAGACGUAGGUAAUCCGAAAACACUGUUGGCGGAUAUACCUAAUAAUUUCGAUUUAAUUGAUUUUUAACGUUUUUCGCAGUAAUUAUAUAUCAAAGAGCAAUUACACCCACGUAUGUUCCUAUAAUAUUCAAU
Molecule: non-coding RNA, 274 nt
Organism: Cinara cedri
Lineage: Eukaryota; Metazoa; Arthropoda; Insecta; Hemiptera; Aphididae
Source: the annotation of a GenBank genome assembly